Long non-coding RNA from Pangasianodon hypophthalmus (striped catfish), 322 nucleotides. RefSeq lists it as uncharacterized. The transcript has 2 exons. The record is from RefSeq and is a predicted model, not a curated record. Lineage: Eukaryota; Metazoa; Chordata; Actinopteri; Siluriformes; Pangasiidae.
CAUGUGGUGCAGCCGUCUACCCAUUACUCGAAAUGGUUUUAAACGUAUAAGUUUAAUAAUUGUUUUAUAAAAAAUCGUAUGAUGUAACCGAAAAGAAAAAGCCAUUUUAAGACUUUUAUUUUGAAAAGGUUUUCGAAGGCCAGUUGUUGCAUCAUACAGCAGUUUGUGACGAGCAUCUGAAGACAUAACAGAAAUACAGAGCUCAGAAAGGAGUGAGUCUUCAAAACAAACAGUGCAGAAGAUGAUGAAAGGAAUCCCUCGCCAGAUUGUUCCAGAAAUUUGCAAGGAGGGGAAAUAAAGGAAAUAAAAAAAUUUGCAGCCA